Molecule: long non-coding RNA, 322 nt
Filed under: Olea europaea subsp. europaea
Lineage: Eukaryota; Viridiplantae; Streptophyta; Magnoliopsida; Lamiales; Oleaceae
Source: RNAcentral
UUGGUUGAAAUUUGCUUUGUUAACGCUUAAAUAUAAAAGACUCAAUGAUGGCCCUCCAUAGAUUCACCUAUGUAAAUCCUGGCUAAAGUUGCAAAAUAAGAGCUUGAAUACCACUUGUAAAUAAUUUAAGGGCAUGACAUGGAUAGGAACAAUGGAAUGUACUAAGAAACAAGAACGACUAUUGCUAAUUCAUCUGUCAAGAUAUUCCCGAAAAAUCGAAAGCUAAGUGAUAAGGACUGGGUGAAAUCUAUUGAGAUGUUAAUGGGUGAAGGGAUUGGAGGUUGUUAAUAUAUUUCAUGAAAUAAUGAUCUUUUUUGGUAAA